AUACUCUGGUUUCUUUUCAUAUCAUAUAAAUCUUUCGUCUUUUACUAAAGAUUUCCAUGGAGAGGAACAUUUAUGAGUUUCUAGGGGAAUGGG
This is a small nuclear RNA of Chelonoidis abingdonii (Abingdon island giant tortoise), 93 nucleotides long. Its record names the gene U5. It matches the Rfam family "U5 spliceosomal RNA". Rfam says of the family: U5 RNA is a component of both types of known spliceosome. The precise function of this molecule is unknown, though it is known that the 5' loop is required for splice site selection and p220 binding, and that both the 3' stem-loop and the Sm site are important for Sm protein binding and cap methylation. The record is from Ensembl. NCBI's taxonomy places the organism in Eukaryota, Metazoa, Chordata, Testudines, Testudinidae.